GUGGUUCUACUGGUGUUACUGGUUCUGCUGGUGAGACGAUGUGUUCACAGGAAACCUGAAGAAAAAGAAAAUGCUUUAGAAAAUGAAGUCAGAGAUGACAUCACAUACAGUGACAUCCAAAUGUCACACUGUCCGCAGCAGCCAAUCAAACAAAGCAGAGAGAGUGAUCCAGCUGCAGUCUACUCAGCAGUGAAAACAGGAGAUGUCAGUUAUGGUGAAAUUAUCAUCAAAGACAAGAAAAAGCGAUCAAGGAUGAGAGACUUUAAACCAGAGCCAGACAUCUUCUACUCCUCACUAAAGUACGACUGACAACCACUGACAUCCAGCUACUGGUCUCUAACUGGUCCCCCCAGCACCACAGACCAGACAAUAUGCACAUGUUAAAAAGAUUUGUAUGUAUUUUGCAUCAUCUUUUAUUUUUUAACUUGAGUUUUCAAAGUGUAUUUUUACUGUACAAUCAGCAGUGCGAUAAAAACAAUGUUUAUUUUUUAUGUCCUCAGUAAGCUCACUGUUAUUUAUAUUGUAUUCCUGUUUGGCAACAAGACCAGAGUAUAGCAAAGUAGCAAUUUAGUUCCUCUGCAAGAUUAAUA
Molecule: long non-coding RNA, 590 nt
Organism: Oreochromis niloticus (Nile tilapia)
Lineage: Eukaryota; Metazoa; Chordata; Actinopteri; Cichliformes; Cichlidae
Exons: 4
Source: RefSeq, a predicted model, not a curated record